AUUGAACGCUGGCGGCAUGCCUUACACAUGCAAGUCGAACGGUAACAGGUCUUCGGAUGCUGACGAGUGGCGAACGGGUGAGUAAUACAUCGGAACGUGCCUAGUAGUGGGGGAUAACUACUCGAAAGAGUGGCUAAUACCGCAUGAGAUCUACGGAUGAAAGCAGGGGAUCGCAAGACCUUGUGCUACUAGAGCGGCCGAUGGCAGAUUAGGUAGUUGGUGGGAUAAAAGCUUACCAAGCCGACGAUCUGUAGCUGGUCUGAGAGGACGAUCAGCCACACUGGGACGGGGACACGGCCCAGACUCCUACGGGAGGCAGCAGUGGGGAAUUUUGGACAAGGGGCGAAAGCCUGAUCCAGCAAUGCCGCGUGCAGGAUGAAGGCCUUCGGGUUGUAAACUGCUUUUGUACGGAACGAAAAGCCCCGGGUUAAUACCCUGGGGUCAUGACGGUACCGUAAGAAUAAGCACCGGCUAACUACGUGCCAGCCGCCGCCGUAA
Molecule: ribosomal RNA, 498 nt
Filed under: uncultured bacterium
Lineage: Bacteria
Description: partial 16S ribosomal RNA
Rfam family: Bacterial small subunit ribosomal RNA
Source: RNAcentral